UGUGACCUCAAAUCAGGUAGGACUACCCGCUGAACUUAAGCAUAUCAAUAAGCGGAGGAAAAGAAACUAACAAGGAUUCCCCUAGUAACUGCGAGUGAAGCGGGAAAAGCUCAAAUUUAAAAUCUGGCAGUCUUUUGGCUGUCCGAGUUGUAAUCUAGAGAAGUGUUAUCCGCGCUGGACCGUGUACAAGUCUCCUGGAAUGGAGCAUCAUAGAGGGUGAGAAUCCCGUCUUUGACAUGGACUGCCAGGGCUUUUGUGAUGCGCUCUCAAAGAGUCGAGUUGUUUGGGAAUGCAGCUCAAAAUGGGUGGUAAAUUCCAUCUAAAGCUAAAUAUUGGCGAGAGACCGAUAGCGAACAAGUACCGUGAGGGAAAGAUGAAAAGAACUUUGGAAAGAGAGUUAAACAGUACGUGAAAUUGCUGAAAGGGAAACGCUUGAAGUCAGUCGCGUCGUCCAGGGAUCAACCUUGCUUUUGCUUGGUGCAUUUUCUGGUUUGACGGGUCAGCAUCAAUUUUGAUCAUAUAUUGGAAAAAGGUCAAGGGAAUGUGGCAUCCUUGGAUGUGUUUAUAGCCCUUGGUCAUAUACAAUGGUUGGGAUUGAGGAACUCAGCAUGCUGCAAGGUGUCCUUCGGAUGUCGGCAAUAUGCCUUUAAUCGACCCGUCUUGAAACACGGACCAAGGAGUCUAACAUGCCUGCGAGUCUUUGGGUGGAAAACCCGAGCGCGUAAUGAAAGUGAAAAGUUGAGAUCCCUGUCGUGGGGAGCAUCGACGCCCGGACCAGACCCUUUGUGACGGUUCCGCGGUAGAGCAUGUAUGUUGGGACCCGAAAGAUGGUGAACUAUGCCUGAAUAGGGUGAAUCCAGAGGAAACUCUGGUGGAGGCUCGUAGCGAUUCUGACGUGCAAAUCGAUCGUCAAAUUUGGGUAUAGGGGCGAAAGA
This 935-nucleotide ribosomal RNA is filed under the name Cortinarius sp. 6 MD-2018. RNAcentral describes it as "eukaryotic LSU rRNA". It matches the Rfam family "Eukaryotic large subunit ribosomal RNA", at positions 1 to 930 of the family's 3401-position model. Lineage: Eukaryota; Fungi; Basidiomycota; Agaricomycetes; Agaricales; Cortinariaceae. The record is from RNAcentral.